AUUUUUAUUUUUUUUUUAUAUUCCCGCUUCCCGCAUCCGGAAAUGUAAUCAUGUCCAUUUCCCGCACCGUUUUUUUUGUAAAUAUUAUAGAAAGAUAUCAACAUUUGUUUUUAAAAUCACAGUCUAACCUGUAUAUAACGAUUUUAAACAUAAAAGCACCCCACCACACUGUGUAAAUAUCUGUGAGAAUAUUUGUUUUAGCAUGAAACCUAUUUAUCAAAAGUGAGAGUGCUCCGAUGUAAAUUGAUAACAGCGGGAAUACUUGUAAAGAACAAAAAAUUGGUUUUUUUC
RNAcentral lists this long non-coding RNA (291 nucleotides) under Mytilus galloprovincialis (Mediterranean mussel). Lineage: Eukaryota; Metazoa; Mollusca; Bivalvia; Mytilida; Mytilidae. The record is from RNAcentral.